CGUUCGGUAGAUUACUCCUUUCUGCUCGUGGACGCCGCCGAGUAAGCAUCCUUGACUUCUCCCCCCACCCUCCACUGCCGUCAUGGCUAAGUCAGAGUCACCCAAAGAGCCCGAACAGCUGCGGAAGCUCUUCAUCGGAGGUUUGAGCUUUGAAACAACCGAUGAGAGUCUGAGGAGCCAUUUUGAGCAGUGGGGAACGCUUGCAGAUUGUGUGGUAAUGAGGGAUCCAAACACCAAACGCUCCAGAGGCUUCGGGUUUGUCACAUAUGCCACUGUGGAGGAGGUGGAUGUGGCCAUGAAUGCAAGGCCACACAAGGUGGAUGGAAGAGUUGUGGAACCAGAGAGGGCCGUCUCAAGAGAAGAUUCUCAAAGACCUGGUGCCCACUUAACUGUGAAAAAGAUUUUUGUUGGUGGCAUUAAAGAAGACACUGAAGAACAUCAUCUAAGAGAUUAUUUUGAACAGUAUGGGAAAAUUGAAGUGAUUGAAAUCAUGACUGACCGAGGCAGUGGCAAAAAGAGGCUUUGCUUUUGUAACCUUUGAUGACCAUGACUCUGUAGACAAGAUUGUCACUCAGAAAUACCACACUGUGAAUGGCCACAACUGUGAAGUAAGGAAAGCCCUAUCUAAGCAAGAGAUGGCUAGUGCCUCAUCCAGCCAAAGAGGUCGAAGUGGUUCUGGAAACUUUGGUGGUGGUCGUGGAGGUGGUUUUGGUGGGAAUGACAACUUUGGUCGUGGAGGAAACUUCAGUGGUCGAGGUGGCUUUGGUGGCAGCCGCGGUGGUGGAGGAUAUGGUGGCAGUGGGGAUGGCUAUAAUGGAUUUGGUAAUGAUGGUGGUUCUGGAGGAGGCAGCCCUGGUUACUCUGGAGGAAGCAGAGGCUAUGGAAGUGGUGGACAGGGUUAUGGAAACCAGGGCAGUGGCUAUGGCGGGAGUGACAGCUAUAACAACGGAGGAGGCGGAGGUGGCUUUGGCAGUGGUAGUGGAAGCAAUUUUGGAGGUGGUGGAAGCUACAAUGAUUUUGGCAGUUACAACAAUCAGUCUUCAAAUUUUGGACCCAUGAAAGGAGGAAACUUUGGAGGCAGAAGUUCUGGCCCCUAUGGUGGUGGAGGCCAAUACUUUGCCAAACCCCGAAACCAAGGUGGCUAUGGUGGUUCCAGCAGCAGCAGUAGCUAUGGCAGUGGCAGAAGGUUUUGAUUACUGCCAGGAAACAAAGCUUAGCAGGAGAGGAGAGCCAGAGAAGUGACAGGGAAGCUACAGGUUACAACAGAUUUGUGAACUCAGCCAAGCACAGUGGUGGCAGGGCCUAGCUGCUACAAAGAAGACAUGUUUUAGACAAUACUCAUGUGUAUGGGC
This is a non-coding RNA of Lipotes vexillifer (Yangtze River dolphin), 1352 nucleotides long. The record is from RefSeq and is a predicted model, not a curated record. Lineage: Eukaryota; Metazoa; Chordata; Mammalia; Artiodactyla; Lipotidae.